GACGAACGCUGGCGGCGUGCUUAACACAUGCAAGUCGAACGAAGUGGCGAACGGGUGAGUAACGCGUAAUCAACCUGCCCUUCAGAGGGGGACAACAGUUGGAACCGACUGCUACUCCCGCAUACGGAAGGAGGGGAUUGCGUCUGCUUAGCUAGUUGGAGGGGUAAAGGCCCACCAAGGCGAUGAUCAGUAGCCGGUCUUGGCGGAGUAACGGCCAAAGUGGGACUGAGGAACGGCCCAGACUCCUACGGGAGGUAGCAGUGGGGAAUCUUUCGCAAUGGACGAAAGUCUGACGGAGCAACGCCGCGUGAGUGAUGACGGCCUUCGGGUUGUAAAGCUCUGUUAAUCGGGACGCGGUACCGGAAGAGAAAGCCACGGCUAACUACGUGCCAGCAGCCGCGGUAAUUC
Molecule: ribosomal RNA, 408 nt
Filed under: uncultured bacterium
Lineage: Bacteria
Description: partial 16S ribosomal RNA
Rfam family: Bacterial small subunit ribosomal RNA
Source: RNAcentral